This 1355-nucleotide long non-coding RNA is filed under the name Lynx pardinus (Iberian lynx). Lineage: Eukaryota; Metazoa; Chordata; Mammalia; Carnivora; Felidae. The record is from RNAcentral.
AAAAAGGAGAGAGAAACUCUAAGAAAGAAAGGUGAGUCACCUUCAUUGGUGCUGAAGGGUAUUUGAGAUGAUGACUCAGAAGUAAAAAGACUCACAUGAUAAGGGCGAGGACUUCGUUGAUGUGUCUUUAUCUGCAGAGUUUGUCAUGAGGCCUGGCUCAAGGUGGACAGUCAGCUGGCCGCUGUGUGUUAUUUUGGAUGCCAUGGGAAAUGCAGGGUGGGCAGGACUUCCUGGAGAAGGACUCAAAAGAGAGGGAUCUUGAAGUGGGCCUCUUCUUUCCCCUCCCUGUUCAUGUCACCCCAUUAUUCUUCAUCCGUUCCUGAACACCACACACACUGGAAGCUUUGGUUUUAGCAUUCUUAAAACAAAUGUGACCAUCCCUUUGCCUUGGUGGCUUUUCUGGACAGGGAGCAGAAGGGGAGAGGUUCUUUGGCCCAGUGAAAACUGACCUUAAUGUUUAGGUAGAAUUUAAGUUUAAAAAGGUUUCAUUUGGUCUGCUUAUCCCCUUGAGGACAUCUGUGUUUCUUCUCCCCUACCUUGCAAUUCAGCAGAACAGGGACAAAAGUGACACCAAAGCUCUCCAGUGUCCCUGCCUCUGGAAGCGUUACCGAGAUGGCUGUUCAGAAUCUUAGAUGGAAAUGUAUACACGGCACUGACACACGCCUGCCAGAGCAAACCAGAGCUUUCCUCACAUGGGAUUCAGGGUCAGUGUGAGAGGCAGCCAGCAGGCAAGGGAUCCCUGCCAACAACGUUGACAGAGCCCCAUUUCCACACUAAACCAAAGCCUCGCUGCCCCAGAGCGGCGCACCCCCUUUCCCUUCCUUCCGCUUCGCACAGCCCAAGACAUGUUUGACCAGAACUGCAACAUUUCAGACAUAAACCAAACUCAGCCUGGAAAUCCUAAUUAAAAACAUUCCAUUCCCAGGUGGCACGAUUGCAUCCUGCCUAAAACUUCUGGCCCACAUCCCACCACCCAGAUGCUGAAGCAAAAGCUUUCCCCACUUAACACCAAAACCUGCACUCAAUGUUUCUUCAGGGACAAAGGAAAAAAAAAAGUACACUUACACAGAGGUCAGCCUACAUAUUCAUUAAGGAAAAAGAGCGUGGCUUAUUCAUCUGUCUUUCAAACUUUUGAUUGCUGGCAUUAUGAUUAUGAUUAUGAUUAAUUACCAUGACGGAUCAGGAAUUGGAGGAGAGAAUAAAUGCCGGUGCUCUGAAAUGAUCUGCCCAACUCUGUCAUCUGUAACAACCAGUGAUAACUCUCUUGUCUUGUAAAAAGGGUUUGUACAUAACUUGUACAUGGUUUCAUUUUGUAUUUUUCGCAGAUUAAAAAUUUAUGUAUUUGUGUUCUAAAA